UUGAUGGAGAGUUUGAUCCUGGCUCAGGACGAACGCUGGCGGCGUGCUUUACACAUGCAAGUCGAGCGAUCGGCCCGGCUCCUUUGGGGUUGGGUACGGAGCGGCGAACGGGUGAGUAACACGUGGGUAACCUGCCCUUGGCUCUGGGAUAAGCCUGGGAAACUGGGUCUAAUACCGGAUGGGACGCAUGGCCGCAUGGUCUGUGUGUGGAAAGGUUUUUCUGGCCAGGGAUGGGCCCGCGGCCUAUCAGUUUGUUGGUGGGGUAGUGGCCUACCAAGGCGACGACGGGUAGCCGGCCUGAGAGGGUGUUCGGCCACACUGGGACUGAGAUACGGCCCAGACUCCUACGGGAGGCAGCAGUGGGGAAUAUUG
This 372-nucleotide ribosomal RNA is filed under the name Phytoactinopolyspora halophila. RNAcentral's name for it is "Bacterial small subunit ribosomal RNA". It matches the Rfam family "Bacterial small subunit ribosomal RNA", at positions 1 to 366 of the family's 1533-position model. Lineage: Bacteria; Bacillati; Actinomycetota; Actinomycetes; Jiangellales; Jiangellaceae. The record is from Rfam by way of RNAcentral.